CAGUAGCCACGGGAAUACGGAGGGAGCUAGCGUUGUUCGGAAUUACUGGGCGUAAAGCGCACGUAGGCGGAUAUUUAAGUCAGGGGUGAAAUCCCAGAGCUCAACUCUGGAACUGCCUUUGAUACUGGGUAUCUUGAGUAUGGAAGAGGUGAGUGGAAUUCCGAGUGUAGAGGUGAAAUUCGUAGAUAUUCGGAGGAACACCAGUGGCGAAGGCGGCUCACUGGUCCAUUACUGACGCUGAGGUGCGAAAGCGUGGGGAGCAAACAGGAUUAGAUACCCCUGUAGUCCCUGUCUCUUAUAC
Molecule: ribosomal RNA, 301 nt
Filed under: uncultured bacterium
Lineage: Bacteria
Description: partial 16S ribosomal RNA
Rfam family: Bacterial small subunit ribosomal RNA
Source: RNAcentral